This 391-nucleotide ribosomal RNA is filed under the name uncultured bacterium. RNAcentral describes it as "bacterial SSU rRNA". It matches the Rfam family "Bacterial small subunit ribosomal RNA", at positions 28 to 417 of the family's 1533-position model. The record is from RNAcentral.
GACGAACGCUGGCGGCGUGCUUAACACAUGCAAGUCGAGCGGUAAGGCCCUUUCGGGGGUACACGAGCGGCGAACGGGUGAGUAACACGUGGGUGACCUGCCCUCAGCUCUGGGAUAAGCCUGGGAAACUGGGUCUAAUACUGGAUAUGACUCCGCGGUGCAUGUCGUGGGGUGGAAAGCCUUGUGCGGCUGAGGAGUGGGCCCGCGGCCUAUCAGCUUGUUGGGUGGGGUGANGGCCUACCAAGGCGACGACGGGUAGCCGGCCUGAGAGGGCGACCGGCCACACUGGGACUGAGACACGGCCCAGACUCCUACGGGAGGCAGCAGGUGGGGAAUCUUGCGCAAUGGGCGAAAGCCUGACGCAGCGACGCCGCGUGAGGGAUGACGGCCU